GCAGGUAUAAUUUAAUAGUAGAAUAAUAGCUUCCCAAGUUAUCAGUGUGAGUGCAAUUCUCAUUAUCUGCUCCA
This 74-nucleotide transfer RNA is filed under the name Bacilli bacterium. RNAcentral describes it as "tRNA-Gly". It matches the Rfam family "tRNA". Rfam says of the family: Transfer RNA (tRNA) molecules are approximately 80 nucleotides in length. Their secondary structure includes four short double-helical elements and three loops (D, anti-codon, and T loops). The record is from RNAcentral. Lineage: Bacteria; Bacillati; Bacillota; Bacilli.